Molecule: long non-coding RNA, 351 nt
Organism: Trichogramma pretiosum
Lineage: Eukaryota; Metazoa; Arthropoda; Insecta; Hymenoptera; Trichogrammatidae
Exons: 3
Source: RefSeq, a predicted model, not a curated record
UUUUAGUCUCUGUGCGAUCUGCAAAUUUAUGCGGUGUAUUUGACUUUGGUGGCCGUAUAACGUCAGUCUUCAGUGUCGAAGUUUUCUGCAGCUUUCACCACUAGAUGUCCAGUACCUCCAUGGAUGUAGCAUUACACCACAGGCACAAUCAGUGCGGCCGGCCUGCCCUACACUCUCCGCUGCUACCUCUGUAACCUAAGAUCUGGGAGUGCGAGCCUACAGGCUUCGACUCGCGCGAGUCUAGUCUCACCGCACUUUUUUUUUGUUAACCGUCGUCUUAUGCGUAACACUUAAUAACAGAAAAAAAUUGUUUAUUAUAUAUUUCUUUUUAUACAUAAACCGUGUUACACU